AUAGAAUUACAGAAACAUUUUCUG
RNAcentral lists this non-coding RNA (24 nucleotides) under Arabidopsis thaliana (thale cress). Lineage: Eukaryota; Viridiplantae; Streptophyta; Magnoliopsida; Brassicales; Brassicaceae. The record is from RNAcentral.